RNAcentral lists this transfer RNA (72 nucleotides) under Camelus dromedarius (Arabian camel). It matches the Rfam family "tRNA". From Rfam's summary of the family: Transfer RNA (tRNA) molecules are approximately 80 nucleotides in length. Their secondary structure includes four short double-helical elements and three loops (D, anti-codon, and T loops). Further hydrogen bonds mediate the characteristic L-shaped molecular structure. tRNAs have two regions of fundamental functional importance: the anti-codon, which is responsible for specific mRNA codon recognition, and the 3' end, to which the tRNAs corresponding amino acid is attached (by aminoacyl-tRNA synthetases). tRNAs cope with the degeneracy of the genetic code in two manners: having more than one tRNA (with a specific anti-codon) for a particular amino acid; and 'wobble' base-pairing, i.e. permitting non-standard base-pairing at the 3rd anti-codon position. RNAcentral also lists the same sequence under 1 other name. Lineage: Eukaryota; Metazoa; Chordata; Mammalia; Artiodactyla; Camelidae. The record is from Rfam by way of RNAcentral.
GAGGAUAUAGCUCAGUGGUAGAGUGCACGCUUAGCAUGCAUAAGGUCCUGGGCUCAAUCCCCAGUACCUUCA